Asterias rubens (European starfish) is the source of this 495-nucleotide RNA transcript. RefSeq lists it as uncharacterized. The transcript is spliced from 3 exons. NCBI's taxonomy places the organism in Eukaryota, Metazoa, Echinodermata, Asteroidea, Forcipulatida, Asteriidae. The record is from RefSeq and is a predicted model, not a curated record.
AGAAAAUCCCGCUUAAUCAGCGCUGACUUACCGACGCGUCAACUCUUGGGCGCGGCCAUCUUGAUUUCUGGUCCUAAUGCCAACUCGCGUUUUAGGCUAGAUCUCGCGAGAUUUAGGGGGAUUUGCAUAGAUGAUGUCAUCAUUUUGUAGAAGAAAGCAAGCUCUUUCGUUUGAUGUGUGACAUGCCAACUUUCGCGAAUGUGGUGACUCCUUAACAAGACUGUUUGCAAGAGGCCAAAAAAGAUUCCCGAAAGUGACGACUCAAAUGUGAGCACGUACUAUUCCCCGCCAUCGAACACGAGUGUUGCAGACGAACACCCUCCAGAUUCCGACAGUGAUGUUCCAGCUGACCUGGAUGUGAGCACGCACACAUCACCGCAAAUCGGGGAACUGCACCCUGUAUCUUCUAGUUCUCCACACUCCCACGAGCAUUUUUCUGAGUUUCAGGUAGUUGUGAUUUUUUUUUAUCUUCCUUGUUGACCUUGUUAUGCUUUU